RNAcentral lists this ribosomal RNA (491 nucleotides) under uncultured bacterium. RNAcentral's name for it is "partial 16S ribosomal RNA". It matches the Rfam family "Bacterial small subunit ribosomal RNA", at positions 29 to 507 of the family's 1533-position model. The record is from RNAcentral.
GUGAACGCUGGCGGUAGGCCUAACCCAUGCCAGUCGAACGGCAGCACAGUAAGAGCUUGCUCUUACGGGUGGCGAGUGGCGGACGGGUGAGGAAUACAUCGGAAUCUACUUUUUCGUGGGGGAUAACGUAGGGAAACUUACGCUAAUACCGCAUACGACCUACGGGUGAAAGCAGGGGAUCUUCGGACCUUGCGCGAUUGAAUGGGCCGAUGUCGGAUUAGCUAGUUGGCGGGGUAAAGGCCCACCAAGGCGACGAUCCGUAGCUGGUCUGAGAGGAUGAUCAGCCACACUGGAACUGAGACACGGUCCAGACUCCUACGGGAGGCAGCAGUGGGGAAUAUUGGACAAUGGGCGCAAGCCUGAUCCAGCCAUACCGCGUGGGUGAAGAAGGCCUUCGGGUUGUAAAGCCCUUUUGUUGGGAAAGAAAAGCAGCAGGUUAAUACCCCGCUGUUCUGACGGUACCCAAAGAAUAAGCACCGGCUAACUUCGUG